RNAcentral lists this ribosomal RNA (400 nucleotides) under uncultured bacterium. RNAcentral describes it as "bacterial SSU rRNA". It matches the Rfam family "Bacterial small subunit ribosomal RNA", at positions 355 to 747 of the family's 1533-position model. The record is from RNAcentral.
UGGGGAAUUUUGGACAAUGGACGAAAGUCUGAUCCAGCCAUGCCGCGUGCGGGAAGAAGGCCUUCGGGUUGUAAACCGCUUUUGUCAGGGAAGAAAUGCUUUGGGCUAAUACCUCGAAGGGAUGACGGUACCUGAAGAAUAAGCACCGGCUAACUACGUGCCAGCAGCCGCGGUAAUACGUAGGGUGCAAGCGUUAAUCGGAAUUACUGGGCGUAAAGCGUGCGCAGGCGGUUCUAUAAGACAGAUGUGAAAUCCCCGGGCUCAACCUGGGAACUGCAUUUGUGACUGUAGAGCUGGAGUGCGGCAGAGGGGGAUGGAAUUCCGCAUGUAGCAGUGAAAUGCGUAGAGAUGCGGAGGAACACCAAUGGCGAAGGCAAUCCCCUGGGCCUGCACUGACGCU